GGCGGANUUCGUCGUGUAGCGGUGAAAUGNUUAGAUAUGACGAAGAACUCCGAUUGCGAAGGCAGCUGACGGGAGCGCAACUGACGCUGAAGCUCGAAGGUGCGGGUAUCGAACAGGAUUAGAUACCCUGGUAGUCCGCACAGUAAACGAUGGAUGCCCGCUGUUGGUACCUGGUAUCAGCGGCUAAGCGAAAGCAUUAAGCAUCCCACCUGGGGAGUACGCCGGCAACGGUGAAACUCAAAGGAAUUGACGGGGGCCCGCACAAGCGGAGGAACAUGUGGUUUAAUUCGAUGAUACGCGAGGAACCUUACCCGGGCUUGAAUUGCAGAGGAAGGAUUUAGAGAUAAUGACGCCCUUCGGGGUCUCUGUGAAGGUGCUGCAUGGUUGUCGUCAGCUCGUGCCGUGAGGUGUCGGCUUAAGUGCCAUAACGAGCGCAACCCCUGUCUUUAGUUGCCAUCAGGUUAAGCUGGGCACUCUGGAGAUACUGCCACCGUAAGGUGUGAGGAAGGUGGGGAUGACGUCAAAUCAGCACGGCCCUUACGUCCGGGGCUACACACGUGUUACAAUGGCCGGUACAGAGGGACGGUGUAAUGUAAAUUGCAUCCAAUCUUGAAAGCCGGUCCCAGUUCGGACUGGGGUC
This 640-nucleotide ribosomal RNA is filed under the name uncultured bacterium. RNAcentral describes it as "bacterial SSU rRNA". It matches the Rfam family "Bacterial small subunit ribosomal RNA", at positions 660 to 1305 of the family's 1533-position model. The record is from RNAcentral.